RNAcentral lists this ribosomal RNA (515 nucleotides) under uncultured bacterium. RNAcentral describes it as "partial 16S ribosomal RNA". It matches the Rfam family "Bacterial small subunit ribosomal RNA", at positions 28 to 523 of the family's 1533-position model. The record is from RNAcentral.
GAUGAACGCUGGCGGCGUGCCUAAUACAUGCAAGUCGAGCGAAUGGAUUAAGAGCUUGCUCUUAUGAAGUUAGCGGCGGACGGGUGAGUAACACGUGGGUAACCUGCCCAUAAGACUGGGAUAACUCCGGGAAACCGGGGCUAAUACCGGAUAACAUUUCGAACCGCAUGGUUCGAAAUUGAAAGGCGGCUUCGGCUGUCACUUAUGGAUGGACCCGCGUCGCAUUAGCUAGUUGGUGAGGUAACGGCUCACCAAGGCAACGAUGCGUAGCCGACCUGGGAGGGUGGUCGGCCACAGUGGGACUGAGACACGGCCCAGACUCCUACGGGAGGCAGCAGUAGGGAAUCUUCCGCAAUGGACGAAAGUCUGACGGAGCAACGCCGCGUGAGUGAUGAAGGCUUUCGGGUCGUAAAACUCUGUUGUUAGGGAAGAACAAGUGCUAGUUGAAUAAGCUGGCACCUUGACGGUACCUAACCAGAAAGCCACGGCUAACUACGUGCCAGCAGCCGCCGUAA